AUUGAACGCUGGCGGCAGGCCUAACACAUGCAAGUCGAGCGGAUGAAGGGAGCUUGCUCCUGGAUUCAGCGGCGGACGGGCGAGUAAUGCCUAGGAAUCUGCCUGGUAGUGGGGGAUAACGUCCGGAAACGGGCGCUAAUACCGCAUACGUCCUGAGGGAGAAAGUGGGGGAUCUUCGGACCUCACGUUAUCAGAUGAGCCUAGGUCGGAUUAGCUAGUUGGUGGGGUAAAGGCCUACCAAGGCGACGAUCCGUAACUGGUCUGAGAGGAUGAUCAGUCACACUGGAACUGAGACACGGUCCAGACUCCUACGGGAGGCAGCAGUGGGGAAUAUUGGACAAUGGGCGAAAGCCUGAUCCAGCCAUGCCGCGUGUGUGAAGAAGGUCUUCGGAUUGUAAAGCACUUUAAGUUGGGAGGAAGGGCAGUAAGUUAAUACCUUGCUGUUUUGACGUUACCAACAGAAUAAGCACCGGCUAACUUCGUG
This 484-nucleotide ribosomal RNA is filed under the name uncultured bacterium. RNAcentral describes it as "partial 16S ribosomal RNA". It matches the Rfam family "Bacterial small subunit ribosomal RNA", at positions 30 to 507 of the family's 1533-position model. The record is from RNAcentral.